CGAGGCGCAUCUCAAAAGGAAAUCAAUGCCCCCAAUCCAGUAGUUGGCAGACGUGAGCAGAUCGCGCGAAGUGUUUUAUACCAGAAGAACAGGAAGCACUACGUCAUCAAGGAGCGCGUAUAUAAACCACGAGGCGCACGCCUGUUAGGUCUUUCUGUUCUGAAGUGGCGACUCGAUUAGUGUGUGUUCAGAGAAGCUUCGAAAAAAAAAUAUACGACUGAUCAUGGUAAGACGCAAUGGACCACUAUUUCACAAUAAUAAUUUUCUUCCAUACCGUGUUGUGAUGAAAUCUAAACUGAAUAUAGCUGGAAUUACCGUCAGAUGGUUCAGUGGUGAUGAUCGGUUUUCUGAGCACAUUAGUGUGGAAGACAACGUUACUUCCCACAUGUGUGAUCUGUUCAUUAACAAUCUGUGUGUCUUUUGCAGAUAUUCUAUGAAGAUUUAAAACAUUUUUUGAUUUUAAACGAAGGGGAUUGAGACGACGACUGCUGCUUUCAAUUAUUAUUACUUUUUUAGUUCUUUUGUGUGUAAUGAAUUUCUUUUUAUUGUAAUUAAGAAAAACAUCAUAACCCAAUAAAAGUUCUUUAUUCACA
This is a non-coding RNA of Pimephales promelas (fathead minnow), 593 nucleotides long. Lineage: Eukaryota; Metazoa; Chordata; Actinopteri; Cypriniformes; Leuciscidae. The record is from RefSeq and is a predicted model, not a curated record.